This 498-nucleotide ribosomal RNA is filed under the name uncultured bacterium. RNAcentral's name for it is "partial 16S ribosomal RNA". It matches the Rfam family "Bacterial small subunit ribosomal RNA", at positions 28 to 508 of the family's 1533-position model. The record is from RNAcentral.
GAUGAACGCUGGCGGCGUGCCUAAUACAUGCAAGUCGAGCGAACAGACGAGGAGCUUGCUCCUCUGACGUUAGCGGCGGACGGGUGAGUAACACGUGGAUAACCUACCUAUAAGACUGGGAUAACUUCGGGAAACCGGAGCUAAUACCGGAUAAUAUAUUGAACCGCAUGGUUCAAUAGUGAAAGACGGUUUUGCUGUCACUUAUAGAUGGAUCCGCGCUGCAUUAGCUAGUUGGUAAGGUAACGGCUUACCAAGGCAACGAUGCGUAGCCGACCUGAGAGGGUGAUCGGCCACACUGGAACUGAGACACGGUCCAGACUCCUACGGGAGGCAGCAGUAGGGAAUCUUCCGCAAUGGGCGAAAGCCUGACGGAGCAACGCCGCGUGAGUGAUGAAGGUCUUCGGAUCGUAAAACUCUGUUAUUAGGGAAGAACAAAUGUGUAAGUAACUAUGCACGUCUUGACGGUACCUAAUCAGAAAGCCACGGCUAACUACGUGC